Molecule: ribosomal RNA, 2195 nt
Filed under: Salmonella enterica
Lineage: Bacteria; Pseudomonadati; Pseudomonadota; Gammaproteobacteria; Enterobacterales; Enterobacteriaceae
Description: partial 23S ribosomal RNA
Rfam family: Bacterial large subunit ribosomal RNA
Source: RNAcentral
AGACCCGAAACCCGGUGAUCUAGCCAUGGGCAGGUUGAAGGUUGGGUAACACUAACUGGAGGACCGAACCGACUAAUGUUGAAAAAUUAGCGGAUGACCUGUGGCUGGGGGUGAAAGGCCAAUCAAACCGGGAGAUAGCUGGUUCUCCCCGAAAGCUAUUUAGGUAGCGCCUCGUGAAUUCAUCUCCGGGGGUAGAGCACUGUUUCGGCUAGGGGGCCAUCCCGGCUUACCAACCCGAUGCAAACUGCGAAUACCGGAGAAUGUUAUCACGGGAGACACACGGCGGGUGCUAACGUCCGUCGUGAAGAGGGAAACAACCCAGACCGCCAGCUAAGGUCCCAAAGUCAUGGUUAAGUGGGAAACGAUGUGGGAAGGCCCAGACAGCCAGGAUGUUGGCUUAGAAGCAGCCAUCAUUUAAAGAAAGCGUAAUAGCUCACUGGUCGAGUCGGCCUGCGCGGAAGAUGUAACGGGGCUAAACCAUGCACCGAAGCUGCGGCAGCGAACGUAUCACCCAAGACAACUUUACGGAGUUGACGAUUGACGGAGCGAAGCGACGUCAAAGCGUUCAUUAAAGUCGAGUUGGCUUAGGGAUACGUUCGUUGGGUAGGGGAGCGUUCUGUAAGCCUGUGAAGGUGUGUCGUGAGGCAUGCUGGAGGUAUCAGAAGUGCGAAUGCUGACAUAAGUAACGAUAAAGCGGGUGAAAAGCCCGCUCGCCGGAAGACCAAGGGUUCCUGUCCAACGUUAAUCGGGGCAGGGUGAGUCGACCCCUAAGGCGAGGCCGAAAGGCGUAGUCGAUGGGAAACGGGUUAAUAUUCCCGUACUUGGUGUUACUGCGAAGGGGGGACGGAGAAGGCUAUGUUGGCCGGGCGACGGUUGUCCCGGUUUAAGCGUGUAGGUGUGUGUUCCAGGUAAAUCCGGUUCACUUUAACACUGAGGCGUGACGACGAGGCACUACGGUGCUGAAGCAACAAAUGCCCUGCUUCCAGGAAAAGCCUCUAAGCAUCAGGUAACAUCAAAUCGUACCCCAAACCGACACAGGUGGUCAGGUAGAGAAUACCAAGGCGCUUGAGAGAACUCGGGUGAAGGAACUAGGCAAAAUGGUGCCGUAACUUCGGGAGAAGGCACGCUGACACGUAGGUGAAGUGAUUUACUCAUGGAGCUGAAGUCAGUCGAAGAUACCAGCUGGCUGCAACUGUUUAUUAAAAACACAGCACUGUGCAAACACGAAAGUGGACGUAUACGGUGUGACGCCUGCCCGGUGCCGGAAGGUUAAUUGAUGGGGUCAGCGCAAGCGAAGCUCCUGAUCGAAGCCCCGGUAAACGGCGGCCGUAACUAUAACGGUCCUAAGGUAGCGAAAUUCCUUGUCGGGUAAGUUCCGACCUGCACGAAUGGCGUAAUGAUGGCCAGGCUGUCUCCACCCGAGACUCAGUGAAAUUGAACUCGCUGUGAAGAUGCAGUGUACCCGCGGCAAGACGGAAAGACCCCGUGAACCUUUACUAUAGCUUGACACUGAACAUUGAGCCUUGAUGUGUAGGAUAGGUGGGAGGCUUUGAAGUGUGGACGCCAGUCUGCAUGGAGCCGACCUUGAAAUACCACCCUUUAAUGUUUGAUGUUCUAACGUGGGCCCGUUACCCGGGUUGCGGACAGUGUCUGGUGGGUAGUUUGACUGGGGCGGUCUCCUCCUAAAGAGUAACGGAGGAGCACGAAGGUUGGCUAAUCCUGGUCGGACAUCAGGAGGUUAGUGCAAUGGCAUAAGCCAGCUUGACUGCGAGCGUGACGGCGCGAGCAGGUGCGAAAGCAGGUCAUAGUGAUCCGGUGGUUCUGAAUGGAAGGGCCAUCGCUCAACGGAUAAAAGGUACUCCGGGGAUAACAGGCUGAUACCGCCCAAGAGUUCAUAUCGACGGCGGUGUUUGGCACCUCGAUGUCGGCUCAUCACAUCCUGGGGCUGAAGUAGGUCCCAAGGGUAUGGCUGUUCGCCAUUUAAAGUGGUACGCGAGCUGGGUUUAGAACGUCGUGAGACAGUUCGGUCCCUAUCUGCCGUGGGCGCUGGAGAACUGAGGGGGGCUGCUCCUAGUACGAGAGGACCGGAGUGGACGCAUCACUGGUGUUCGGGUUGUCAUGCCAAUGGCACUGCCCGGUAGCUAAAUGCGGAAGAGAUAAGUGCUGAAAGCAUCUAAGCACGAAACUUGCCCCGA